UGCAACGCGAAAACCUUACUACCCUUGACAUGUCCGGAAUCCCGAACGAGAUUUGGGAGUGCUCGCAAGAGAACCGGAACACAGGUGCUGCAUGGCUGUCGUCAGCUCGUGUCGUGAGAUGUUGGUUAAGUCCCGCAACGAGCGCAACCCUUGUCAUUAGUUGCCAUCAUUUGUUGGGCACUCUAAUGAGACUGCCGGUGACAAACCGGAGGAAGUGGGGAUGACGUCAAGUCCUCAUGGCCCUUAUGGGUAGGGCUUCACACGUCAUACAAUGGUCGGUACAGAGGGUUGCCAACCCGCGAGGGGGAGCUAAUCCCACAAAGCCGAUCGUAGUCCGGAUCGCAGUCUGCAACUCGACUGCGUGAAGUCGGAAUCGCUAGUAAUCGUGGAUCAGCAUGUCACGGUGAAUACGUUCCCGGGUCUU
This 424-nucleotide ribosomal RNA is filed under the name uncultured Rhodocyclaceae bacterium. RNAcentral's name for it is "bacterial SSU rRNA". It matches the Rfam family "Bacterial small subunit ribosomal RNA", at positions 955 to 1382 of the family's 1533-position model. The record is from RNAcentral. Lineage: Bacteria; Pseudomonadati; Pseudomonadota; Betaproteobacteria; Rhodocyclales; Rhodocyclaceae.